CGAGGAUUAGCCAAGCGGAUAAGGCAGUGGAAUUUGACUCCACGACCGCAGGUUCGAUUCCUGCACCCUCGA
RNAcentral lists this transfer RNA (72 nucleotides) under Bacteriophage sp. Its description in RNAcentral is "tRNA-Gln". It matches the Rfam family "tRNA". Rfam says of the family: Transfer RNA (tRNA) molecules are approximately 80 nucleotides in length. Their secondary structure includes four short double-helical elements and three loops (D, anti-codon, and T loops). RNAcentral also lists the same sequence under 1 other name. The record is from RNAcentral.